This is a long non-coding RNA of Bos taurus (domestic cattle), 459 nucleotides long. The record is from Ensembl. NCBI's taxonomy places the organism in Eukaryota, Metazoa, Chordata, Mammalia, Artiodactyla, Bovidae.
GGGCCUUGUUCACCGAAACUUGGUCUCCGCAUGUCUCUCUCUCCCCCAAAUUCUGGCUGAGUCUCCAUCUGGAGCGUGGAACCCGCCAUGCUUACUAAUUAUGCCUGGGCUUCUAAGAUCCGACCGGGGAGGCCUCAGUGUCUCCUCUCCUUCGGGAGAACGGAAGGACGCCUGCGGCCUACCUGCUGCUGCUGCUGCUGCUGCUAAGUCGCUUCAGUCGUGUCCGACUCUGUGAGACCCCAUGAAUUGCAGCGUGCCAGGCCUCCCUGUCCAUCAUAAGGAAAGAAAAUUGAAGUGACAUUGUCAUGCAUCAUAGGAUGGAAAUCAAUGGUUUUAUUCGCUGGAAAAUCCAGGGUUCUAAGAAUUUGCUGUUCUUCCCAAGCCCACAAACUUUCAAAAGUUCUGUUGUAGCGAUUUUGAGAACAGAGAGAGGUUCAAGGUCAAAACUGCCCCUAGCAG